RNAcentral lists this transfer RNA (71 nucleotides) under Bos taurus (domestic cattle). It matches the Rfam family "tRNA". From Rfam's summary of the family: Transfer RNA (tRNA) molecules are approximately 80 nucleotides in length. Lineage: Eukaryota; Metazoa; Chordata; Mammalia; Artiodactyla; Bovidae. The record is from Rfam by way of RNAcentral. RNAcentral also lists the same sequence under 5 other names.
UCCCAGGUGGCUCAGUGGUAAAGAAUCUGCCUGCCAAGCAGGAGACAUGGGUUCAAGGCCUGGGCUGGGAA